CCUACGGGGGGCAGCAGUGGGGAAUUUUACGCAAUGGGCGAAAGCCUGACGUAGCGACACCGCGUGAACGAAGAAGCCUUUUGGGGUGUAAAGUUCUGUCGGUGGAAAAACGGUACCAGCAAAGGAAGCAUCGGCUAACUACGUGCCAGCAGCCGCGGUAAGACGUAGGAUGCAAGCGUUGUCCGGAUUUAUUGGGCGUAAAGAGUUCGUAGGCGGUUUGUUAAGUCUGAUGUUAAAGAUCGGGGCCCAACCCCGAAACUGCAUUGGAUACUGGCAGACUGGAGUGUGGUAGAGGUAAGUGGAAUUUCUGGUGUAGCGGUGAAAUGCGUAGAUAUCAGAAAGAACACCAGUGGCGUAGGCGACUUACUGGCCUAACUGACGCUGAGGAACGAAAGCCAGGGGAGCAAAUGGGAUUAGAUACCCUUGUAGUC
This 431-nucleotide ribosomal RNA is filed under the name uncultured bacterium. RNAcentral describes it as "partial 16S ribosomal RNA". It matches the Rfam family "Bacterial small subunit ribosomal RNA", at positions 338 to 795 of the family's 1533-position model. The record is from RNAcentral.